This 760-nucleotide unclassified non-coding RNA is filed under the name Penicillium rubens. RNAcentral's name for it is "sequence contains 18S rRNA gene, ITS1, 5.8S rRNA gene, ITS2, 28S rRNA gene". The stretch from base 510 to 760 matches the Rfam family "Eukaryotic large subunit ribosomal RNA", at positions 1 to 248 of the family's 3401-position model. The record is from RNAcentral. Lineage: Eukaryota; Fungi; Ascomycota; Eurotiomycetes; Eurotiales; Aspergillaceae.
GAGGAUCAUUACCGAGUGAGGGCCCUCUGGGUCCAACCUCCCACCCGUGUUUAUUUUACCUUGUUGCUUCGGCGAGCCCGCCUUAACUGGCCGCCGGGGGGCUUACGCCCCCGGGCCCGCGCCCGCCGAAGACACCCUCGAACUCUGUCUGAAGAUUGUAGUCUGAGUGAAAAUAUAAAUUAUUUAAAACUUUCAACAACGGAUCUCUUGGUUCCGGCAUCGAUGAAGAACGCAGCGAAAUGCGAUACGUAAUGUGAAUUGCAAAUUCAGUGAAUCAUCGAGUCUUUGAACGCACAUUGCGCCCCCUGGUAUUCCGGGGGGCAUGCCUGUCCGAGCGUCAUUGCUGCCCUCAAGCACGGCUUGUGUGUUGGGCCCCGUCCUCCGACCCCGGGGGACGGGCCCGAAAGGCAGCGGCGGCACCGCGUCCGGUCCUCGAGCGUAUGGGGCUUUGUCACCCGCUCUGUAGGCCCGGCCGGCGCUUGCCGAUCAACCCAAAUUUUUAUCCAGGUUGACCUCGGAUCAGGUAGGGAUACCCGCUGAACUUAAGCAUAUCAAUAAGCGGAGGAAAAGAAACCAACAGGGAUUGCCCCAGUAACGGCGAGUGAAGCGGCAAGAGCUCAAAUUUGAAAGCUGGCUCCUUCGGGGUCCGCAUUGUAAUUUGUAGAGGAUGCUUCGGGAGCGGUCCCCAUCUAAGUGCCCUGGAACGGGACGUCAUAGAGGGUGAGAAUCCCGUAUGGGAUGGGGUGUCCGCGCACGUGUG